This 95-nucleotide transfer RNA is filed under the name Betaproteobacteria bacterium. Its description in RNAcentral is "tRNA-Ala". Lineage: Bacteria; Pseudomonadati; Pseudomonadota; Betaproteobacteria. The record is from RNAcentral.
UGCGCGUUGGUUAAUGGUCGGAAAUCCUCAUGGCGCAAGGGGCUACACGCCUUGCAAAUCCGUGUAGGUCGGUUCGACUCCGGCUCGCGCCUCCA